CGGCCCCUCCGGGUGAGCGCCGGCCCGAGGCGGGAGACGAGCCGCUGCUUCCAGACGAUCCGUCUGGAUCCAGCCCCGGCAGGUACCUGGCCGUUGCAGGUGCUUAUAGCUGUCAGGAGCUGGCUCCAAAUCACAUUUCCGCUAGGAAAUUGCUGUAUAGAAAGCUGCCUCAGCUUUUUGAUAAGCAGACAUGGCUGUCACGCUGCAUACUGAUGUAGGAGAUAUUAAAAUUGAACUAUUCUGUGAGCGUACUCCAAAGACUUGUGAAAAUUUCCUGGCUCUUUGUGCUAGUAACUACUACAAUGGAUGCGUAUUUCACCGAAAUAUAAAGGGCUUCAUGGUUCAGACAGGGGAUCCAUUAGGCACUGGGAAAGGAGGUAACAGCAUCUGGGGCAAGAAGUUUGAAGAUGAAUUCAGUGAAUACCUAAAGCACAGUGUCCGUGGGGUAGUGUCAAUGGCAAACAAUGGGCCGAACACCAAUGGAUCGCAGUUCUUCAUCACUUACGGCAAACAGCCGCACCUGGACAUGAAGUACACUGUGUUUGGAAAAGUUAUUGAUGGCUUGGAGACCCUGGAUGAGCUGGAGAAGCUGCCUGUAAAUGAGAAAACCUACCGACCUCUUAACGAUGUUCGUAUUAAAGAUAUUACAAUCCAUGCCAACCCUUUUGCUCUGUAGCCACAGAGGCCUCAACACAUUCUUUAGAGACUGGUCAGACCAACUCCCAGAUCAUGGGGUUUAAGGAGCCAUUAAAAAGGGUUACUUGCGCUGGAUCAAGUGAGAGCAAUGUCAUAAAUCGAUGAAACCUUUUUCUCCCAGAGGAUUAAAGAACAUACUUAGAGGAGUGCUUGCUCUUGUACUGCUGUGUUGAAAUGGCAACCUCUUCAACCUCCCAAAAAGGUAGAUGGAAAGCAAUUUCUUCUGCUUCUGGCACAGUGCUAUAGCUGGGGGAUUGCAGGCGAACUAAUUGGCCUGACCAGGAUAAAUGAAAAAGACCACUUUGGAGAAGCUGCUAUAAUGCUGAGAAGGAAAAGGCCCACCGUUCAGAAGUGGACAGGAGAAAAAGUGCUGCAAACUUGAUCUUUCUGAAACUCCGGACAGUCACUGUGCCCAGAUGUUGGAAUGGUUUGAGCCCCACGGACACCAUAUGCAUUGUUUCUGAGCUCGUGGGACUCAGCACCUUUGACUUGCAUUGAAGAGAAUGCUCUCUGCCAUUUAAGCUGGAUCACAUUAGACAAAUGGCAUAUCAGACCUGCAGAUCUGUGAACUGUAAGGAUGGUUCCUUUUUGCUUUAUUUGUUAUGUGAAUAAAAAUGUCUCUUGAUUUCCUUUCA
This is an RNA transcript of Pseudopipra pipra, 1331 nucleotides long. It is a transcript of the gene named peptidylprolyl isomerase like 3, with no coding region annotated. The transcript is spliced from 11 exons. The record is from RefSeq and is a predicted model, not a curated record. Lineage: Eukaryota; Metazoa; Chordata; Aves; Passeriformes; Pipridae.